GAUUUUAAUGCAGAAAACUACUAAACAAACCCCUAUCACCGCUCUGUUUCUCUUGUCAUUCCUUCAGGUUCUGCCAGCAAAAAGCCUUGCAAAGGAGGUUUGAGAUAGAAGGCUGAUCUGGUGCAGCCUCUUUCUAAAAUGAAGAUAGCCAACCGGGAAGGUUUGCAGCUGCAGGAUCCAGAAGGACAAGGUAAAGAUUCAUGGUUUUAAUGUCAGCCUCUGCUUAACCGAAGCACUCCAUCUUUACCACAUCUUCUAUUAGUCCCAGCCAGUUAUGACCAAGCACUUAGAUCAACUUGCUAUCUGAAUGGAAACCCUCUCUGAGUCCUGGAAACUGCCUAUGUUGUAUUUCCACCCAUAUGCGAUGGGAUUGAUCAUGGCCCCAAUCAACAGGAAGCAGAGUUUCCAGACAUGUUUGGAGAACUGAAGACCCUUCAGGGCCUAUGGAAACACCAGCAAGAUGUUUGGAUAACAUAGUGGGUCAAGGCUAGAAUGUAAUCUUGAGUCUCACAGCUUCUGCAUCAAGAGGAAGAGCAUGUUACAAACAAGGAAAAAUGGUUCUGCUGGGGAAUAUGGCUUACCUUGGGUGUGCCCCAACGGAAACAGAGGAAAGGCCUGCAAAUCUGCACCU
Long non-coding RNA from Sceloporus undulatus (fence lizard), 631 nucleotides. RefSeq lists it as uncharacterized. The record is from RefSeq and is a predicted model, not a curated record. The transcript has 4 exons. NCBI's taxonomy places the organism in Eukaryota, Metazoa, Chordata, Lepidosauria, Squamata, Phrynosomatidae.